This 774-nucleotide unclassified non-coding RNA is filed under the name Hevea brasiliensis (rubber tree). Lineage: Eukaryota; Viridiplantae; Streptophyta; Magnoliopsida; Malpighiales; Euphorbiaceae. The record is from RNAcentral.
GGGUUAGUUCCCGUUCUAAUGACAUAUGAGAAAAACUGCCUGUAGUUCAGGUUGAAUAAUCAAUCAAUAUACAAGUACUGCUGAGUGCAAAUUACAACCCAAAGCCCUUGCAGCCUCAGAUAGAAAGAAUCAAUUGAUCAGUUUACAAACAACACAGAAAGGAAAGAAUUCAUCAAUCAAAUGAAAUAGUUUCCCCAGACAAAAAAUGCAAGAAUUCCAUUUCAGUGCGGCAGCAAAGCCUUGGGCAGAGACCAUCACACAUUGAUAUCCAUACGCUUUGAUCUGGCAGUGCUGUUUGUUUCUUGGGAAUCAAUCAGGCUAAAUCUUGGGAAGCUGUAAUUCUCAGUUACUGAAACUGGCUGCUGAGGAUAAAGUGUGGGAGGUGGAGUGAGGUUGUGUUGAGCUGGCAAGGGAGGAAGCAUAUUGUACUUGUAAGGAUCACCAGUUAACCUUUUAGUCUUGUAAAACUGAUCGUCAUCACUUGAAUUCUCAUCUAAACGUUGGCCAGGUCUUUGAGAAUUGGACCAUGGACUUGAUGCUGGUGCUGUUAACUCAUCUGAAAAAUAUCUCCUCCUGAUCAACGUGCGAAAAAACUUUAUCAAAGCUUCCUUGUCAUAUCUUGCUUCUUUUGCAGCAGCAAUAAGACCACCAUUGCCAGGAAAACUCUCAGUCAAUGGAAGUUCCUCACUGGAUGGAAGCAAACCCUGCUUCUCAACCCACUGGCGAGCUACAUCAACAAGAUUGCCGCUGCUUCCUCUUGUACCCUCCUUUGCA